GAUGAAGAACGCAGCGAAAUGCGAUAAGUAAUGUGAAUUGCAGAAUUCAGUGAAUCAUCGAAUCUUUGAACGCACAUUGCGCCCCUUGGUAUUCCGAGGGGCAUGCCUGUUCGAGCGUCAUUAUAACCCCUCAAGCUCAGCUUGGUGUUGGGGCCUGCUGCACUGGCAGCCCUUAAAAUCAGUGGCGGCGCCAUCUGGCUCUAAGCGUAGUAAUUCUUCUCGCUAUGGAGUCCUGGUGGAUGCUUGCCAUCAACCCCCAAUUUUUCUAUGGUUGACCUCGGAUCAGGUAGGGAUACCCGCUGAACUUAAGCAUAUAAAUAAGCGGAGGA
Molecule: unclassified non-coding RNA, 329 nt
Filed under: soil metagenome
Description: partial contains 5.8S ribosomal RNA, internal transcribed spacer 2, and large subunit ribosomal RNA
Rfam family: 5.8S ribosomal RNA (bases 1-120)
Source: RNAcentral